This 586-nucleotide ribosomal RNA is filed under the name uncultured bacterium. RNAcentral describes it as "bacterial SSU rRNA". It matches the Rfam family "Bacterial small subunit ribosomal RNA", at positions 8 to 570 of the family's 1533-position model. The record is from RNAcentral.
AGAGUUUGAUGAUGGCUCAGAACGAACGCUGGCGGCGUGCUUAACACAUGCAAGUCGAACGAGAAAGAGUUCUUCGGAACUUGAGUAAAGUGGCGCACGGGUGAGUAACGCGUAGAUAACCUGUCCUGGUGUCUGGGAUAACCCUUCGAAAGGGGGACUAAUACCGGAUACGUUGAUUAUUCUUAAGAAUAAUCAAGAAAGGUGGCCUCUAUUUAUAAGCUAUCGCAUUUGGAGGGGUCUGCGUACCAUUAGCUAGUUGGUGGGGUAAAAGCCUACCAAGGCUACGAUGGUUAGCGGGUCUGAGAGGAUGAUCCGUCACACUGGCACUGAAACACGGGCCAGACUCCUACGGGAGGCAGCAGUGAGGAAUAUUGCGCAAUGGGGGAAACCCUGACGCAGCGACGCCGCGUGAGUGAGGAAGGCCUUAGGGUCGUAAAACUCUGUCAGAAGGGAAGAAAUGUUAAGAGGUUAAUACCCUUUUAAUUUGACGGUACCUUCAAAGGAAGCACCGGCUAACUCCGUGCCAGCAGCCGCGGUAAUACGGAGGGUGCAAGCGUUGUUCGGAAUCACUGGGCGUAAAGGGCGC